RNAcentral lists this long non-coding RNA (229 nucleotides) under Homo sapiens (human). RNAcentral's name for it is "HSALNT0235432". The record is from RNAcentral. Lineage: Eukaryota; Metazoa; Chordata; Mammalia; Primates; Hominidae.
CUGGGACGCCAGACGCAGUGGCUCAUGCCUGUAAUCCUAGCACUUUUGAGAGGCCGGGGUGGGCGGAUCACAAGGUCAGGAGAUUGAGACCAUUCUGACCAACACGGUGAAACCCCAUCUCUACUAAAAAUACAAAAAACUAGCCAGGCGUGGUGGCGGGCACCUAUAGUCCCAGCUACUUAGGAGGCUGAGGCAAGAGAAUCACUUGAACCCAGGAGGCAGACGUUGC